RNAcentral lists this long non-coding RNA (2912 nucleotides) under Homo sapiens (human). RNAcentral describes it as "HSALNT0373636". Lineage: Eukaryota; Metazoa; Chordata; Mammalia; Primates; Hominidae. The record is from RNAcentral.
CUAAGGGUUUGUAAAUGCACCAAUCAGCACUCUGUGUCUAGCUAAAGGUUUGUAAAUACAUCAAUCAGCACUCUGUGUCUAGUUAAUCUGGUGAGGACUUGGAGAACUUUUGUGUCUAGCUGAAGGAUUGCAAAUGCACCCAGCAGCACUCUGUGUCUAGCUAAAGGAUUGUAAACACACCAAUCAGCACUCUGUCAAAACAGACCAAUCAGCUCUCUGUAAAACGGACCAAUCAGUUCUCUGCAAAAUGGAACAAUCAGUUCUCUGCAAAAUGGAACAAUCAGCUCUCUGUAAAAUGGACCAAUCAGCAGGAUGUGGGUGGGGCCAGAUAAGGGAAUAAAACCAGGGCACUUGAGCCAGCAGCAGCAACCUGCUCAGGUGCCCUUCCACCUUGUUCUUCUGCUCUUUGCAAUAAAUUUUACUGCUGCUCAUUCUUUGGGUCCGCACUGCCUUUAUGAGGUAUAACACCGUGAAGGUUGGCAGCCUCACUUCUAAAGCCAGCGAGACCACAAACCCACCAGGAGGGACAAACAACUCUGGACGUGCCACUUUAUGAACUGUAACAGUCAGUGCAAAGGUCUGCAGCUUCACUCCUGAGGCUAGCGAGACCAGGAACCCACCAGAAGGGACAAACAACUCCAGACGCCUCACCUUAAAAGCUGUAACACUUACAGUGAAGCUCUGCAGCUUCACUCAAACCCAGCGAGACCACGAACCCACCAGAAGGAAGAAACUCCGAACACGUCCGAACAUCACAAGGAACAAACUCCAGAUACCAUCUUUAAGAACUGUAACACUCACUGCAAGGUCCGCACCAAUUCUGGACACAAUAGUACACUUCCCAACAGUAUUUUAAAUUUGUUUUAGUAUUGCCAAUUUGAUAGGCAAAUAAAUGUCGUAAUUUAAAAUGAGAAAUGGGGAAAACAGCUAACCUAAACUAUUACGGAAAGGGAAAUAGCAAGUGCUCCAUAAAUGAGUGAGAGAAGGAGGGUGACUGAGGAUCAGAGAUAUUUAGCAAUUCUGGGUAAAUCUCAAAAGAUUCAUGAAGUUUUGCACUGAUAAGAGCUGGUUAGCCUUCCAUUUUUAUUCCAUAUUGGUCCAGGGAUAGAAUAAAUAGAACCUCAAAAGUCCAAAUGGGAAAAAUUAUAUCCCAAUUUUAUUAACUUUAUAAUAGUAUUACCAACAACUAUAAUCUUGUCACCAAUAGGAAUCUUAAGAGUAUUCAUAUAAUUUUAAGUUGUAGACUUACUGUAAUGCUCAGUACUUGAAAAUUACGGUAGUUAGUUCAUACUCUAGAUCUUAUUUAAUGUUAAUAAACCAUAUAUAUCCAUUUAUAAAUCUAUUUUUAAAACAUCUUGUUAAAUAUAUUUCAAUAUUGUUGGUUUUCAUAAUAAUUUUAUGCAUUUUACUAUAGGAAUUUAAACAUAAAGAAGUUUACAAAUCUCUAGCUUUCAUCCCUAGAUGAAAAGUUAUCCUGAGAAGAAUGAGAAUUGGAUUAAAGUUUAAAGUGUGCGCAGACUUUAAGUAUGUUGUGGAUUAGAUUAUUUGCUCAGAUAGUUUUAAAUUAUUGCUGUUUUAAAACAUUUUAAUUUGAUACCCCUUCAUUUUAUAUUUUUUAUUUUACAUUUUUAAAAAAUUUAGCAUUUCACUUUGUGUUCAACUAGUACCUUCUUCUAAAAUGAGGAAUAGAAUUAAGUAAGAUUUUUGAAUGCUUCAUUUGUCUUGUACAUUUUUCACUGAUGUGUUGGGAAUAUUCUAAGGAAAGAAUGGAACAAUUUGCGAUUCUAGUUAGACUGUUGUAGAACUUAAUUUGCUGUACUGUAAUCAACAUGUUUUUUAUUCUUUUAAUGCAAAUUUAAAGUUAAAAGAAGAAAACUGUACUGAAGAAAGUAACCAAUAGUCCAUUAGUAAAUCGGGUGAUAAAAUGUUUGAAGUGAAGAACCAAAGUUGGCCUGGAAAUAAAUAUACAUUUUUAAAUACAGAACUUGACAUUGUAAUGUGCUCCUGUGAAUUAUUGGUAAUAAAAUAGAGCAAUUCUUUAAAAGAUGAGAAAUGCAUAUAGACCUAUGAAUUAGACAAUAUCCGGAGAAACACAUUAGAAACUUCACUUUAAUCCUUUAGGCUUUUGUGACAUACACAAUGAAAACACAAUGAAAACAAGAUACAUACCGUGAUAUUAAAAUACUCAGAGUUCUGAUAUUAAGAACAGACAAGAAUACUAAUAAAAUCUUCAUGUGGUAAUUAAAAUAUAUAUAUAUAUGUAUCACGUAUAUUGUGGCACCAAAUAAAGAUAAAUAAAUUGUGCUUGUUUGUGGCAGAAAAGGGAAUUAACAGAACAUUUGUCUCCAAAAUGAACAUUUGUAUCCAAAAUUAUUUGAGAUGGUUUACAAAUUGAACAUGUUAGAAAACAGGAAAUUUGGUAAUAGAAACUAAACAAAACAUCUAAAUCAAAGGAGUAGAUAACAGUGGAGUUUAGUUCAUUAGUACAAUUGGCUUCACUUUUCCUGUUGCAUAGGGUAAAAAAGAAAAUCUGUUUACUUAGAUUAGCUAUUACUAGUGGAAUAUUUUACUGUUUGCUUAUAUUAGCUUUAUUCUAUAGGAUAUCAUCUAAAAGAUACUUCCAGAAAAAAUAAUCUGUGAUAAAAAUAUUGAGGAAAUUUGGCAAAGAGUGGGACUAGCUUUGAGACUAUGUAUAUUCGACUUAAAGAAUUCUUACUGUAAUGAAAAUUGUACUAAUUCUAUUGCAAAUGACAUCCAUAUCCUGAAGAACUAGUAUUUCAUGGAACAUAUUCUGGAUAUACUCGUUUGAUAGUCUUCAAUUAAUGAUACAUACAAUAAGCCCAUAUGUUUGCAUGAUCACAUUUUCCUAGUUAAUAAACUGUUUUGAAUAAAGUAGCCAGAGUAAAGUCUAA